This 20-nucleotide unclassified non-coding RNA is filed under the name Mus musculus (house mouse). RNAcentral describes it as "oocyte_clustered_small_RNA9567". Lineage: Eukaryota; Metazoa; Chordata; Mammalia; Rodentia; Muridae. The record is from RNAcentral.
CCACCUCACCCUUCUCAAUG